UAGGGCUGGACGAUAUGGCCAAAAUUUAUAUCACGAUAUAUUUCUUAAUUUCGGUCGAUACGAUAUAAUUCCGAUAUCGAUAUGAACACUAUAAAAAGCCUCGUAAAAACUGCCAAGAACGCCCACAACAGAUGUCAGUGUAUAUACAUUUAUGAAAAAUGAAUUUGCCAAGUCUGACACCUCAUUUAAAACCAUUUAAUAUUUUUUUGAAAAAAAAAAAAAACUUAUUUUUUGUAUUUAGCCUUCAUACAAACAAUAAAUGUGAAAUCACUGUCAAAAAAUCAUUUCAGUCUCACCUAAUUAAAAUUAAUAUCUUUAACUUCAAACUGUAGGCUAAUAUAUACUACCAGUCAAAAGCUUUUGAACAGUAAGAUUUUUAAUGUUUUUAAAGAAUUCUCUUCUGCUCACCAAGCCUGCAUUUAUUUGAUCCAAAAUACAGCAAGAAAAGUAACAUUUUGAAAUAUUUUUACUAUUUAAAAUAACUGUUUUAUAUUUGGAAAUAUUUUAAAAUGUAAUUUAUUCCUGUGAUUUCAAAGCUAUAUUUUUAGCAUCAUUACUCUGAUUACAUGAUCCUUCAGAAAUCAUUCUUAUAUUCUGAUUUGCUGCUCAAAAAUAAUUUGUUGAAAUCAGCUGAGUAGGUUUCUUGAUGAAUAGAAAGUUUAGAAGAACAUUUAUUUGAAAUAGAAAUAUUUUUAACAUUAUAAAUGUCUUUAUCAUCACUUUUGAUCAAUUUAAAGCAUCUCUGCUAAAUAAAAAUUUCUAUAAUUUCUUUCCAAAAAAAGAAAGAAAGAAAGAAAUGAUGCUGACUCAAAGCUUUUGAAUGGAAUAGUGUAAUCAAAUCAAAUGUAAUCAAAAUGUAAUGUUACAAAAGCUUUGUUUCAGAUAAAUGCUGAUCUUUGGAUCUUUCUAUUCAUCAAAGAAUCCUGAAAAAAAAGUACUCAACUCUCUUAAAUAUUGAUAAUCAGCAAAUCAGCAUAAUAGAAUGAUUUCUGAAGAUCAUGUCAAGACUGGAGUAAUGAUGCUGAAAAUUCAGCUUUGAUCACAGGAAUAAACUACAUUUUAAAAUAAAACAGUUAUUUUAAAUAGUAAAAAUAUUUCAAAAUUUAACUGUUUUUGCAGUACUUUGGAUAUAGAUUGAAACAAAUGUGCUUUAGUCAGUAUAAAGAGUAUGAAGAGUGCUCUUGAGUUGCUGCAGGAAAAAAAAAAGCAUGUUGCUGGAGCCGGGCUUAAAUGCAAACUGAUUGUCUGCCAGCAGGAGGCGCUGUGAGAGUGGUAGACCCAGCGGUUUCUCCAGUAACGGCUAUAAUCAAAGGAGCUGCGCUUAUGAACGCUUCUUUAUCAGAUAAAAUGAAAAUGCCAUCGAAACUUUUCUGAAAAACACCCGCGACGUGUUUUGAUUUUGAAACGUGCAGUGCUCAUAUUUAUUCAACGAAGUCAAACACCACAAAUAAAUCAAUGUAUGGGAAACACUGGUAUAUCGAAAUAUCGGAAAUGUGUUUAAAAACCAUAUCACCGUUAUUGAAAAAAAUUAUAUCGCGAUACAUAUUGAUAUUGAAUUAUUGUCCAGCCCUA
Long non-coding RNA from Cyprinus carpio carpio, 1572 nucleotides. NCBI's taxonomy places the organism in Eukaryota, Metazoa, Chordata, Actinopteri, Cypriniformes, Cyprinidae. The record is from Ensembl.